GAUGAACGCUGGCGGCGUGCCUAAUACAUGCAAGUCGAGCGAACAGACGAUGAGCUUGCGCCUCUGACGUGAGCGGCGGACGUGUGAGUAACACGUGUAUAACCUACCUAUAAUAGUGGUAUAACUUCGGGAAACCGGAGCUAAUACCGGAGGAUAUAUUGAACCGCAUGGUUCAAUGGUGAAAUACGGUGUUGCUGGCACUUAUCGAUGGUUCCGCGCCGCAUUAGCUAGUUGGUCAGGUAACGGCUUACCAAGGCAACGAUGCGUAGCCGAACUGACAGGGUGAUCGGCCACACUGGAAGUGAGACACGGUCCAGACUACUACGGGACGCAGCAGUAGGGAACCUUACGCAAUGGGCGAAAGCAUGACGGAGCAACGCGGAGCGAGUGAUGAAGGUCUUGGGAUCGUAAAACUCUGUUAUUAGGGAAGAACAAAUGUGUAAGUAAAUAUGCACGUAUUGACGGUAACUAAUAAGAAAGCACCGGCUAACUACGUG
Molecule: ribosomal RNA, 497 nt
Filed under: uncultured bacterium
Lineage: Bacteria
Description: partial 16S ribosomal RNA
Rfam family: Bacterial small subunit ribosomal RNA
Source: RNAcentral